Poecilia latipinna (sailfin molly) is the source of this 1465-nucleotide long non-coding RNA. RefSeq lists it as uncharacterized. The transcript has 2 exons. The record is from RefSeq and is a predicted model, not a curated record. NCBI's taxonomy places the organism in Eukaryota, Metazoa, Chordata, Actinopteri, Cyprinodontiformes, Poeciliidae.
UAUACAUUUUUCUUCUUCUGGAGAACAAGAAGAAAAAAUCUUGCAUAAAACCAAUUCUUUCUCCAUAGAUAUUAAAUAUUUUUUUAUUGCUGUGUAAAGUACAUUAACUUUCAAUAUAAAUAACAAACAUCAUUCUAAUUGUUUACACUGGUAUGUAGGAUCUCAUAUUUUUUGUCUUUUAAAGUGUUUUGAAUUUAUUUGCAGCUGAGCAUUUUUUCAACUUCUUGUCCACAUUGAAUUCUGAAAUUCACAUUAAUUUUAAAGUAGUACCAAACUUCCUUGUGUUAUUCCUAUCACUUGAUCUUAAGACAAAGAACUUUUGUUAGUUAAUUGGCAACAACCUCUUUCUAGCUUCAAAUAUAACAAAUAGAAUUUUGAAAUCCUAUCUAAGGAAUCUUGUUCCUUAGUUUCAAGAUUUUUAUUGAAUAAACAAUUUGCAUGUUCUUUAACACUCACUUUAUAUAAAGGUUUCGUUUGCAUUACGAACAAAUGCUUAAUGUUGGUUUAAUAACCAACAACACAUUUAUAAAAAAAUAAAACAUUGUGUUUUGGAUGGAUUCUAGAGCAGUCUGUGAAAUACAAGAAUCUUUGUGAAUAGCUAUCUAAAGUCUUUUUUAUUAUUAUUUUUAUUGACGCUACAUCAGCCUCUGUCUUCAGCAAUGUUUUCAUGCUAAUCUUGUUGGACCAAAGGGCUCGCCUCCAGGAUGGAUGGUUUUUUUACUCACACUUCUGUCUGGUUGGAAAGUUUUCUUGUUUUUCUGCAGCCUUGCAGUUCAUUCCUGCAGAUCUCCAAUUCCCCACCUGGCUAACUCAUUCAUUAGCAUCUUGGCAGUUGUUCUGUGGCCUUUUGAUACUUUUCUCUCUAGUUUUAUAUCUAGGGUCUUCAGAUCUCUGCCAGGUUUACUUUGUAACAGGUCUCCAUGGUGCUGCUUGAUGAUCCUUCUGAUUCCACUUCAUCUGUAGAGGUCAUGGUGGAGGUCACGGUUACUCUCAGCCCCGCCCAUCCACAGCUUGUCCAUCGUUAGUGGUCUCCAGGACUAUCUUCCACCCUCAUCUAUUGGACUGGACAUCGGCAUGAUUGUGAGAGUCCCAGCAGAGAGGAAAUGCAAUUAUGAGUCCAAAUAACAUGUGAACAUUCGGAGCCUCUGAAAAAGAGGCAGCAGUCCUUCAACCCCAGAUUAGGAAGGAGGUCGUAAUCAUAACCAUCCGUUCAAUAUCCUGCCAAAGGAAGAGGAGGGUGGCAGCCAGGCAGACUGCUGCACAAUAGACCCGACUCUUCAUCAGUGCCUUGGGCUCAACAUCUCCAAAUCCUUCAGAAGACCAUUUACUCUUACAGAAACCCACACUGGUUACCCCCAUAAAGAGACUGCCACUUUAAGACAAAGAAAAACUAAUUCCUAAUACUGAAUAAUUGUGAUUCAGGCCAUUUGGUGCCGUUAUCUAUAAUCUAAAAUCAAUCAUAUUC